This 587-nucleotide ribosomal RNA is filed under the name Tuber sp. src709. RNAcentral's name for it is "eukaryotic LSU rRNA". The stretch from base 228 to 381 matches the Rfam family "5.8S ribosomal RNA". Lineage: Eukaryota; Fungi; Ascomycota; Pezizomycetes; Pezizales; Tuberaceae. The record is from RNAcentral.
AGGAUCAUUAUACAUACAUGGGAUACCAAUGUGUUCCCUGACCCAUACCACCUCUGUGUACUGUUCCAUGUUGCUUUCCCAGGUGCUCAAUCCUUGUAGUAGCUCAUCGCAAAUGACAUGUUGCUGCUGCCCGCGAGUGGCUACUGGGAAAGGUCUUAUUUAACGCCUUCAAUUGAAUUUGCUGUCUGAGUUGGCCUGGUGCCAUGAACUUUGAACAAGUUAAAAAAAACUUUCAACAACGGAUCUCUUGGCUCUCGCAUCGAUGAAGAACGCAGCGAAAUGCGAUAAGUAAUGUGAAUUGCAGAAUUCAGUGAAUCAUCGAAUCUUUGAACGCACAUUGCGCCCCUUGGUAUUCCUUGGGGCAUGCCUGUUCGAGCGUCACUACAAAACCCACUCAUAAAUAAUAUGGUACUGAUGGAAGUGAACGGUAGCCACUCUUGCGCUCAGGUCACUCUGUUGAAAUGCAUAGGCAGGCUAAUCAACCACUGCAACUGACUUAGUAACUGUUUUAAAGACAUAAACCAGUCACUUGUUAGGUUCCAGCCUGGCCAUCAUGGACCUCCCUCCAAGUCGAACUCNGGGUGACC